Motacilla alba alba is the source of this 6407-nucleotide long non-coding RNA. RefSeq lists it as uncharacterized. The record is from RefSeq and is a predicted model, not a curated record. NCBI's taxonomy places the organism in Eukaryota, Metazoa, Chordata, Aves, Passeriformes, Motacillidae. The transcript is spliced from 5 exons.
GGGCCGCUCCGGGGCGCGCAGGGCGGCGAAGCGGGGCGGCCGCGGGCAGCCCGGCGGCGGCGCGGCGGGGCCGGGGCGGGGCGGGCCCCGCUGGCGGCGGGACUUGGCGCGGCGGUUCUGGAACCACACCUGGGGAGAGAGGGCGGCGGUGAGCGCGGCGGGGCGGCCCCGGCGCGGCGGCGGGCGCGGCACGGCCGGCGCCCCUCACCUGGAUGCGGGACUCGGGGAUCUGCGUGGCGUCGGCCAGUUUCUCCCGCAGAUGCAAGUUAAAUGCACCCGGAGAGCCAGGGCAGAGGCAAACAUUGGUGUCAUCACCUUUUCCACCACUUGCUAAUGCCUUCACACAUCACACUGGCGCGUCCCGUGUGCUUCUGCCAAAACUGAUUCCCAGACGGAGAGGUCUUGUGCUGAAACGCUGCCUGCACACCCCGACAACAUCAAGGCACUUAAAAUGGCAAAAAAAGGGGAUUUGAUGUCUUCCCUCAAGAAGCAGAAGCUGUGACGGAAGUCCAGAAGUGGCUUGCUUUUUGAAAUUAAGAUGGCAAAAACUGAGAGAGCUGUCUCUAAGGGAAAAGCAGACUGCCCUGUGUUGAUAUGAAAAAUUACAGGCCGCUUCAGAAGCUGUUUCCAUUGAUCUUCACUCUGUUCGUCAGGAGAGAAACUUCUCGUGCUUUUGUCUGUGCUGGGAGUGUCUCAGCACUGAGGCUUCUGUGCCAAGAGGACUCACAAUACAAAAUCUGCCUGUACCUGCAAUAAAACAGAUUUAAGCUUCAUUUGGAGAACAUGCUCUCACAUCACUGCUGCCAGCUCUGAGCAUCCAGCAAGGCUUGUGUCUCAUGGUUAUUGAGAAAAGGAUCCAAAUGUGAAGCAAGUUUUGCUCCAGUGGUUCAAAACCAGAAGACAAUACACAGAACCAGAACUGUCCUGGUAUGGUUGGAUGCCUGUUACAACAUGAACACAAACCCAUGACAUUUCUCUGCCCUUGGCUGCCCUGGUGCUAUUAAAAUCCACCCAGUUUUUCCUCUCUGAGUGGCAAUGCCUGGAGAAUCCUUCAUCUGCCUUCCCUGUGCUUCCCUGCCGCUUCUCAGGCAUGUGCCAAGAUGGGACAACUGCAAUCCAAGAUGGAGAGUGACUCUGGGCUGGGGUGAUCUCAGCAGAUCUCUAAUGCCAUCUUAGCCACCCUCCACAUCUUUACAACACCACGUUUUUCCUCUUUUGCAGUCACAUCUUUGCAGCUGGGAUACCUCUUACCUAAGGUGUUUGAGGUAAGAGAAGGUUUAAAGGAAUUCUGAGAGUUUGCUGCAUCUGAGUGAUCAAAAAAGAGUGCAGCAGCGUCAUACUUUAGGUUUCUAUUUGCAGUUCCACUGCUGCUGGCCUCUUUUGUGACUCACUGGCAAUGCCUGAAAUAUGGCUGUAGACAAAAUAUUUAUGACAGUGGCUGGAAAUUGCAAAGCUGAGCAGGAUAUCACAUCUAUCACAGCACUACCUGGGUGUUUUGCAUCGUGUGUGUCUUGGUCAGUGUCAGCAUAGCAGUGUUCAUGGUUUUCUGGCAUUUCAAAAACAUUGUAUUUCUCUCAAGUUUUGCCAGGCUAAGGGCAGAAGUGAGAAGAUAAUGAGUUUCCUUUGAUUAAUCUCACUUGGUUGAGCUCUCCUUCCUCUGUGUUUUGUAUUUUUAUCAACUACUACAGCAAGAGUCCUGGCAUGUACAAAGCAGUUCAGGAUAAAUGGGGAACCUGCUGCCACUAAAAAUCCUAACAGACCAAGGACUGAUCCUACCUGCCCACAGAGCUUGAUUUUGCAUCUCUUCAGGCAAAUGGUGAUCUUUCCUCUGGCUGCAUGGAGCAGACUCCUGCUUUAGGGACCCAAGAGCCACACAGGUGCCCAAGCAAGCAAACCCUCCCUGCAUGUUGCACUCUUUCCUCAUCUACUCGAUCUGAUUUCCUCUAUUCCAAACAAGUCUCUGCAUUUCAGAUUUCCACAGCAGCAAGCUGCCACUAACAGUGUAUGACCAAGGCUGGGCUGUCCAAACACACCCACCAAAUGCCACUGUAACUUGCCUGUGACCCCAUAGCUGAAGAGCAGGUGCAUGGCACACUGGCCAAGACACACAGGGCUGUUCCUAGAAGAUGCCUGUUCCAGAGCUGGAUUGGUGCCUGCUUCCUGCUCUCCAGGCUUUAUGUAAUCCUGAAGCAGUGCAGCUUCACCAGGUUCCUUUGUCUAACCAAAGUGCAAAAGCUGUUUUCAGGUGGGAAUUUUACUUAGGACUAUGUAAAAUGUGUAGGUACAAAGUGCUGCAAAAGACCAGGUCAUUCAUUCCAGGUCUGAGUGAAUUCUUUCCCUGUCCACACUCCCCAGGGCCACUUCUCAAACUCUGGCCCAUGUUUUCAGCAGCUGGAGAAACAUCUACCACAUCACACAAAAGUAAAGACUUAUUCACUUUUUUUUUUUUUUCCCCACAACAAAAGGAGAGCCACUCCUGUGAAAUCAUCUCCAGACCCUGUGGGUCCAGGUUUCUGCUUUUCUCCAUGCAGGCAUGUAAAAAUCAUAAAUUGUGAAAAAAGGGGUGAUGAAGUGCUCUUUGGAGCACUUGCAAAAUAGCCAUGGUUUAGGUAAUGGCUUUUUUUUUUUUCCUCUGGGUGGAGUUUGAGCCAUUUGGGAGUUGAUCAUUGAACAUUGAUAUGAACAGGAAGGGAAGCAUAACAUAAAGAGGACAGCAACAACCCUGAGGCUGGGAGACUUGUGUGGCUGCUGGUGUCAUGUGCUGAAGCAGAAAUUCCUUUGACAUUUUGGAAGGGGAAGGCAGUGCUGGCCAGUCCUGGCUGCUGCGCUGGGUACGUGCUGAUUCAUGUGGCUCCGAGGAUAAUGCAUUUUGCAGCAGAGAGGAGGCUUGUGUCUCUGCAGUUUCCAGGAGGAAUUGUGCCAUCACACCCCACAAACAGUAAACAGUGUCAAGUUGUGAAAGGGUUUGUGCCAGUAAGCCUCACCUGUGAUGUUUUUGGCAGGCCAUCUAACCAAUACCCAGGGAAGGCUCACAGACUGGUGAUGCACUGUCUCCUCGUAUUUUGCAGUCUCUGCUGGUGAUGGUAGGCUAGAUAUCCCUGGCUUGGCCCCCUAGAGGGACUUCUUGCCAGGAUAGUCAGUCCCUGUAGGAUGAAACAGAAGUCAGGCAAAGAGUAAGAUAUUGACAUUUCCCCAUGAGGUGAUGUAGGAUCCCAGAAACAACCACACCUGAAAACCAAACAGUCCUCAGUCACAGACUCAGAGAGGAGGUGCAGUGCAUGUAAAGCUGUGAAAGUACCCCAGGAAACCCAGGCCAUUCACAUGGAGUAUGUCCAGCUAUAGAGCAGUAGAGAUACUCAGACACACACAAGCACCAUGUGGAUUUAGACAUUUUGGAGGCUAGACUUGAGUCCUGGAUAAGCUUCAGCUUUGUUUCAACUAACUCAGCUUUGUUAUUUUCUUAAUAGUGAGUACAGUGCAGAGCUCUCUCCCAAAAGCUCUGGAAGCUGCUGGUCCAGUUCAGAAAGGGGGCUGGGUGUGUGAUGCCCCUCUCCAAUGAUUUUUACUGCACAGUAGCUUUAGGCCAGGUUCCAGCAGCAUCCUACUGGCACCAGUGAUAACAGUGUAAAAGCAUUUGGCCUCUUUUGGUUUGGACAGUCAUCCAUGAGGCACUAAGAGAGCUACCUACAGUGAGAUAUUACAGCUGUUGGUCAUGCUCACCCGAGCCAGAUUUGAUUGCUGAUCCUGAGAGGAGAGAUUCCCCCCUGUCAUUCUUCUCCAGAGGUUUCUGCAGUUCCUGGACAAAAAUAUUCAAGGGCAUUUCUAAUGGACACAGAAAAAACAAGCAAAUGCAUCCCCAGGGUUUUACUUCUGUACUGGUAUUGCAUUGCUUCCUGUGACCCUCUCUCCUCCCAGCAAUGCCUAGAUUUCAGGUUGCAUAGGCUGGGUGGAAUAUAUUUUAGAACAAGACUCUAUUUAGCCGUGAUGUCAACUGCAGCCAACUAUAAAAAGCUCAGUAAUGCUCUUUGAAAGUGUAACAGCUGCUGCUCUACACAGUCCCUGGUGUAUCACAAGUCCGCCCUACUUCAUGUUCACACAACCAAAAUAAAAUACAAUAGCAAUCAUUAAAUAGUUCAAGGCAUUUGGGACAUGAUCUCCCCAGAAACCAAGAGGAAUUCAAGGUUAGACAAACUGAGUAAUUUUGCACGGUUUGUUAACAGAAAGGUAAGUUUACCUGGAUUUGCAAAAUUGACUUUUACCUCCCCAUUGACUACCUGCUAUCAGUGAUCCCUACACAGUGACAAGAGAGCAGCAAACCUUCCUUUGGGCAGCUCUGCUGGGUGUUGUUCACACACACAAAUUGAGCUCUUGCAUGGGGUAAGUCCAUCAAUAUGUUACCCAACAUAAAAAACCCAUUUUUGUCCUUAACUGGAUUUGGUCAUCUAUAUUAAAAAAAAAUAAACACUGAUCAGUGAUCAAAAUUUCCCAUAAAAGCAGGAAAGGAAACAGUUGAAUGAAAUGUUAUUUAGUCAUCUAGAUGAACAGACAGAAGUGAAUGACUGUGGAAUUGUGCUCACAGUACUGGAGAGGUGGUUUUGGCUGGGUCUCUGUUAAGGACAACCUUGAAAUGCUGGAUGUUGUAGUAAAGUUUGUUUUUUUGUUUUUUGGUUUGGUUUUUUUUUUCAAAUAAACAUUCGGGAGUGAUCCCUGCAUUUCACUCUGUGGACUUGCUUCUGUUGAGGACUUUGAAAAAUCUUCCAGGCAUAUGUCUGCUUUACUAAAAAAUGGGAAGUGUUGAGCGACCUGCCCACGAUGAUGUGAAAGUCAGUGAGUGGCAGAGCAAAAAGGUGAGCCUGGCUGUGCUUUCCCCCUUCCCUGUUGCUGCUGGCAUUACCAGUGGCACAUCCAAUUCCAUUUCCUGAAACCAACUGAGACAGCUCAAACGAUAUGAGCCCAGGAAGCAACAGCUGCAUAAAAAAGAAGGAAAGUUGCAGAAGCAAAUCUCACGAGUGCCCAGUUUGCUGUAGCGGUUGCUCGAAGUCCUGCUGGGCUGAGCUGUGCCUUGGCAGGGCCUGUAGUGAGGACCAUCCUGCCUUGCAGAGCCUCCAGCUCCUUUCUGCAUCCUUGGCAGGACUAAGCAGUGCAAAGUGGCUGCAAUGUUGCAGGCAGGGUGGUUUGGUUUGUAGUGCAGAUAGGCCUUUGUAGUGUGGGUGGGGAGCAGGCUGUUCCAAGGGACGUGCCAACUCCUGUGACACGGUUUGGAGCAGCGUGAGCUCACCGGUCUGCAGGAAACGGUCGGCUGCCAGACACAGCUGUUCCCAGAGGUGACAGGACAGUCAGGCAACGUGAGCAAUGGUUUGGCACCAGCCAAAGCCAUUGGGAUGGAAACACGCACGCCAUGGGACGGGCUUGGCGUGUCUCUGAGCGCUGGCUGCACCCAGUUCCCAACAAGGGAUGUUUGAUCCAUGAGGGAAUCAGAGGCACCCAGAAACGAAAGCAAGCAGAGCAGUCUCCAGGCAGACAAAAAGCUUGGGAGGGAGCCAGGGAGCAGCCCUGGUGCCUGUCCUUCCCUGACUCCCUGAGGGCUCUCUGGAAACCCCCUCGGCCUCCCCCACCUUUGCCAGGGCUCCUGGCUGUUCACAGUGUGAGCAGGAAAAGGAGGGGAGGUGGUUUCUUCUACCCACAGAUACACAUGCAAACACACAGAGUAUGCUUGUUUAAAUAAAGUGACGCUGAAGAAAGGUGACUUGUGUCAACACACAGAGACUCAUUUACAUGCUACAGUGUGUAGCAAUAUGGUGUCAGGUGAGAGCUGGCACAUUUUUCAUGUCCAGCCAUGUACACAUAAUGGUAUCACAGGGGGAGACCAGUUGCUGUGGAAUUAAAGGUUGUGUUUUCUUUAACAGCACCUAGGAAACAGGAUACUGGAAAUCCUUGAACAUUCAAUAACUUCCCAGCCAGUACCUCUAACAGUCUGCAGAUUAUUUAAGAUUUUACUAUAUCCCUUGACAACUAAGAGCUCAGUUCUUUAGAUGUUGAGCAGCCUCCAUUCUAAAUAGGGACAGCUGAAACUUUUCACAAAGCUUUUCUCUACCUUUGUCUGAGGAUUUGUGACAACCAAGUGGCUUCCACACUUCUAAAAGUGAGACUGGUAAAUUGUUGGCCAUGAGCCCAUUUGAUUAAAGAAGAGAAAAAACAGUCCUGCAAUCCUAGAUGGGUGACAAGAUGAAACUGGCUGUCCCAUACAACAGCCACGGAAACCUCGGGCUCCUGGUGUUCUGACUCCCUGGCUAUGAUUUUCCACGGUGACCAAGUGAUUUAUUUAAUCCUUUCACUACUUCUUUGUAGUCUUGGAUCUUUGAGGUGUCAGGAGGAAUCAUCAAACCAACUCCUGCAACACAUUACAA